RNAcentral lists this long non-coding RNA (471 nucleotides) under Linum usitatissimum (flax). RNAcentral's name for it is "long non-coding RNA (LUSI_LNC003775)". The record is from RNAcentral. Lineage: Eukaryota; Viridiplantae; Streptophyta; Magnoliopsida; Malpighiales; Linaceae.
AAGAAUAAGAAGAAGAAGAAUCGAAGAAUAAGAAGAAGAAUCAAAUAAGAAUCGAAGAAGAAGAAGAAAAAAAUGACUGGAAAACGAAGAACGAUGAACGAAGAACAACAAAGGAUGAACGAAGAACAAAGAAUGAUGAACGAAGAAAAAAUUACUAGACAAAAAGUAUAAGGGUGAAUUUUAUCCGAUGUUAGGUUUAACGGGGGAUAAAAUCUGUUGUUAGCUUUAACAACGGAUAAAAUUCGUUGUUAGCUUAGAAGCGGAUAAAAAUCCACCGUUAGCUUAUUUACCAUUAGUUAAUCUAACGAUGGAUUUCUAUCAGCCGUUAGGAUUCUAACAGCGGACUAUAUGCUGUUAAAAUAGAUAAAAAAACCACCGUUAAACAUGUAGUUUCUUAUAGUGUUUCAAAUCUGGACUCACAAAGCAAAUCAAUAGUCCAAGUGCAUAAAUAAUAGAGAAAUUUUAUAAGCC